CCACCCCAUGUUCAAGGCUAUGUGCCACAGCAGGCAAGACAGACCAUUGCUGCCCACGUGGACUUUACGGUCCAGCCAGGACAACAGAGGUGAAUAAGUAAUGCACCAAUAGCAAACAUUUGUUGAGUGCUUACUGCAUGCCAGAUGCUGUGCGAAGCACUUUUCAAAGAUUACCUUAUUUAAUCCUUACAGCAAGGCUGUGAGGAAGCUACUGUUGUACCCAUUUUACAUAUGGGGAAACUGAGGCUUAGCAGGGUUUACCUCCCUGGCACAAGUGUGGUUAUGGCUUGAGUGCAGGUAGCAUGACUCAGUCUGCAGCUGUGAUCACUCUGCUGCUUCCCCCACCCCCACAAUGUGGGAAAGACUGCAGGGCAUCCCAGAACCCAGAUGGUGUGAAGGCACUUUUAAGAUCCAUGAUCCACCACCUUAGUCCUCUUCUCGCAAUCAGAAGUCCCAGGUCCCGUCCACACCCAAGGGGAGAAGAUGGCAUUAGGGCCUGAGCACCAGGAAGCCACCCUCAUGGGCCCUGAGGGAUCUGUCCACCACCAUUUCUUUCUUUUUUAAAAAGUACAUAUUUUAUUUAUUUGGCUGCCCCAGGUCUUUGUUGGGGCAUGUGGGAUCUUUAGCUGCAGGAUGUGGAAACUAGUUUCCCAACCAGGGACUGAACUGAAGCCCCCUGCAUUGGGAACUUGGAGUCUUAGCCACUGGACCACCAGGGAAGUCCCCCCAACCAUUUCUAAUUCUAUUUGUGGGCCUUUUGUCCUCAUAGUUUCUUGUCAUGCCAGCUAUUUACAAUUUUUUUUAAGUUAGGACACUAGCAGCAUUUCUGACAUUUUUUCCUGAUCCCCCUGGAUUUUGAGGACCUGCCCUCUGGGCCAUUCAUAUCGUCAUGGCUGUUUCCAUGGUUAAAUGGUCCCAGGAAUUUUCUAAAAGAGAAAUGGAGCCGCGGGAGUUUGAGGCAGAGUCAGCAGAGAGAAGGGCCAAGCCCAGGGAGGAAUUCAGACAUUUAAUCAAAAUCUGAAGUUCACCCAUCUCUUCUUGUUCCUUUAUCCAUCCAUUUAUGUGUCCCUGAUCCUGGCUCGCUUGGUGAGCCCCUUCUGGGUCAUGUGCUCAGCUCUUCACCAGUCCCCUCGCUGAAUCCAGGGCAGAGUUAACAAGAGGAGAGGGUGGGAUGCCCUCUGCCUGGGAACGUGGGCGGGGGGACCAGCCUGGAGUUCACUGUGGGGACAGGCGGACAAAGGGAACAGUAUGUUUCUUAAAGCAGAAUAAAUACCAUUUUACCUUCUGUUAGCCAGAUCAUCACUCUGAAGAUGCAAGGCUGUGCUGUGUAGUAUGGAAUCAUGGCCUGAAGGCCCCAGCCUCAGGGCUCCUGGCUCUUUUAUUUUUUAUUCAUUUUUUAAAUUGGAGUAUAAUUGUUUUACAAAGUUGCAUUAGUUUCUGCUGUAGAGCAAAGUGAAUCAGCUAUAUGUGUACUCAUAUCCCCUCCCUCUUGAACCUCUCUUUCACCCCCACCCCUUCCCACCCCUCUAGGUCUUCACCGAGCCCGGAGCCGUGCUCCCUUUGCUCUUUUUAAGUGUUGGUGAGUGUGUCUUGGAGCAUCUCCACUUCUUCUGCUCUGCACCCCUCAUUUGUCUCUGCUUGGUGUCACCAGUGAAUCCAGUUUCAGCAAACCUUUUCCUGCCGUCUGAGUGGCUGCUUCUAAAUUACUGUGGGGCACGAAACCCCCCUAUAUCUGAUUACAUUGUGUGUAAAGUGUUAGUCACUCAGAGUCAGACACAACUGAGUGGCUAAGUACAGCACAGCACAGAGCUAACCCUGGGUUGGGAAGAUC
This is a long non-coding RNA of Bos taurus (domestic cattle), 1831 nucleotides long. The record is from Ensembl. NCBI's taxonomy places the organism in Eukaryota, Metazoa, Chordata, Mammalia, Artiodactyla, Bovidae.